GGCUUCGUAGCUCAGCUGGUAGAGCUUGCGCUGUACAAAGGCGUGGGCAGCGCCCGUGUGUGGGUUCGUAUCCCACCGAGGCUA
This 84-nucleotide transfer RNA is filed under the name Echinostoma caproni. It matches the Rfam family "tRNA". Rfam says of the family: Transfer RNA (tRNA) molecules are approximately 80 nucleotides in length. Their secondary structure includes four short double-helical elements and three loops (D, anti-codon, and T loops). The record is from Rfam by way of RNAcentral. Lineage: Eukaryota; Metazoa; Platyhelminthes; Trematoda; Plagiorchiida; Echinostomatidae.